UUGGAUGUGGRGGUUUUGCUGGCCUCUUUGAAAAAAGGGCUCAGCUCUCCUGAAAUGCAUUAGCAGAACAAACCUGUKCAUUGGUGUGAUAACUAUCUGCGCCAUUGAAUGUGAGGGGCAGUUCAGCUUUCUAACAGUCCUUCGUUGGACAAUUCAUCAUUAAUGUGACCUCSAAUCAGGUAGGACUACCCGCUGAACUUAAGCAUAUCAAUAAGCGGAGGAAAAGAAACUAACAAGGAUUCCCCUAGCUAACUGCGCAGUGAAGCGGGAAAAGCUCAAAUUUAAAAUCUGGCGGUCUUUUGGCUGUCCGAGUUGUAAUCUAGAGAAGUGUUAUCCGCGCUGGACCGUGUACAAGUCUCCUGGAAUGGAGCAUCAUAGAGGGUGAGAAUCCCGUCUUUGACAUGGACUGCCAGGGCUUUGUGAUGCGCUCUCAAAGAGUCGAGUUGUUUGGGAAUGCAGCUCAAAAUGGGUGGUAAAUUCCAUCUAAAGCUYAAUAUUGGCGAGAGACCGAUAGCGAACAAGUAACCGUGAGGGGAAAGAUG
This 542-nucleotide ribosomal RNA is filed under the name uncultured Cortinarius. RNAcentral's name for it is "eukaryotic LSU rRNA". The stretch from base 166 to 542 matches the Rfam family "Eukaryotic large subunit ribosomal RNA", at positions 1 to 366 of the family's 3401-position model. The record is from RNAcentral. Lineage: Eukaryota; Fungi; Basidiomycota; Agaricomycetes; Agaricales; Cortinariaceae.